GAAAUUACUAAAUGCAAAGGAAAGAAUCCUAUCAUGGAACAUCAAAAUGACAGAAGCUGUUACCAAAAUAUCUGUACGAUGGUUUUAGUUGUGUUAAAUCAGUAUGCUAAACUGCGUUAGACAGGGCUGAACAAAUAGGAAUCGAAGACGUCUCUUCAAGGAGCGGGAAAGGCACACCUAAGGCAAUUAUCACAGAAACAUUGAGAGAACUGCUGUUUCAGUGCGUGGAGCUCCUUGAACAUGGAAGAUGGAAUCAUUAACUAGACCGGCAUUGUCGUGAAAGAUGCCACGCUGUCUUAAAGAAGAAUUUUAUAUUGCUGUCAGGAGAAAAUCACUUGCAGUUCUUUGAGAUGUCAAAAUCCUGUCAUUUCUGCAGAUGUGGCCCAUUGUGACUCAGGAUAUGAGGUAUCAAGAUGGAAAUUAAAGCUAUUUGCUUUUACUCCAGUCAAAACCAUCUCUUCUCUCUACUUCUGAGCAUGGCUCUGUUCUCCCACACACAAAAUGCUGUCCUGGGAAGAAAUCCAAAUCCUCUCCAAUGCCUACUGCAUCUCUGCAGCUCGAUUGGAAUGAGCGUUCAGAGAUUUGUGUCUCCUUUUUACUGCCAAGAUUCACAGGUGUGGCCAGGAUGUUCUAUGAACAUGUGCAUCACAAUGUUACAAUGACUAAACUCAUUGGGUGUGCAAGAAACAUACUAUACACGAAUCACAAUCUUAUAUUUAGAAAAAAUUAUUCUAGCCACAGUUUUAAAUUGCUUGACUCUCUUCAUACUUAAAAAGUCAAAGAAACAUGUUAUAUCGAGCAAAAUAAUUACAUUCAUCCAGAAAAAGUAAAUGUAAUGGCAAUUGCCACAAUUAUACCCUUGCUAAAAAAAAUGAAAAGUAGAAAAGAAAUUCCUAAGACUAAAAAAAAAAAAAAGAAAGAAAGAAAAAAAGACAAUGAAAACAAAGUUCAUUAUUGCCAGAAUAUCAAGGAGAACAUUUCCUGUAAGAGGGAGAGGAGACUUUAUAUAACUGUGAUUUUCUUAAAUAAGAUGGUGAAACUAUGAAAAUAAAGCUUCAAAUUAUUGUUUUCA
This 1072-nucleotide long non-coding RNA is filed under the name Ursus americanus (American black bear). RNAcentral's name for it is "lncRNA (ENSUAMG00000021338.1)". Lineage: Eukaryota; Metazoa; Chordata; Mammalia; Carnivora; Ursidae. The record is from RNAcentral.